GAUGAACGCUGGCGGCGUGCCUAAUACAUGCAAGUCGAGCGAACAGACGAGGAGCUUGCUCCUCUGACGUUAGCGGCGGACGGGUGAGUAACACGUGGAUAACCUACCUAUAAGACUGGGAUAACUUCGGGAAACCGGAGCUAAUACCGGAUAAUAUAUUGAACCGCAUGGUUCAAUAGUGAAAGGCGGUUUUGCUGUCACUUAUAGAUGGAUCCGCGCCGCAUUAGCUAGUUGGUAAGGUAACGGCUUACCAAGGCAACGAUGCGUAGCCGACCUGAGAGGGUGAUCGGCCACACUGGAACUGAGACACGGUCCAGACUCCUACGGGAGGCAGCAGUAGGGAAUCUUCCGCAAUGGGCGAAAGCUUGACGGAGCAACGCCGCGUGAGUGAUGAAGGUCUUCGGAUCGUAAAACUCUGUUAUUAGGGAAGAACAAAUGUGUAAGUAACUAUGCACGUCUUGACGGUACCUAAUCAGAAAGCCGCGGCUAACUACGUG
Molecule: ribosomal RNA, 497 nt
Filed under: uncultured bacterium
Lineage: Bacteria
Description: partial 16S ribosomal RNA
Rfam family: Bacterial small subunit ribosomal RNA
Source: RNAcentral